GUUUCCUGUUGGAAACAUUCCGAUUGUAUAAUGGGAUAGCGCCUCUCGCUACUGCUUCGCCUGGCUGGUAUGCAAUCUCGAUCAGCGCUCCUAUCAGCUAUGCAAACCGAGUCGCAUCAUUCAGAAUCAUCGGUUCAGCAAACAUCGCAUAUCGGAGAUGAGUGAGAUACAAACUGAUCCAUUCUGAAUGACGAGAAAAAUCAAACAGUUGUGCGGGACACCAUAAAUUCUCAGUAGUUUUAACGUGACGUACGACAUUUUAAUAAGAGAACUUGUAAAAAUUGAAAAACACGGCGAAAGUGAACAUCUUUCCCUCACAAACACAACUGCAAUUUGAUUUUGAUCAUACUGAUGUUAAAAAACGUUAUAACAACAAAUAAAUUUAUUAAUUUGCUUUAUAUCAAAUCAAACAAAA
Molecule: long non-coding RNA, 415 nt
Organism: Uranotaenia lowii
Lineage: Eukaryota; Metazoa; Arthropoda; Insecta; Diptera; Culicidae
Exons: 2
Source: RefSeq, a predicted model, not a curated record